UAGAGUUUGAUCAUGGCUCAGCAUGAACGCUGGCGGCGUGCCUAACACAUGCAAGUCGAGCGAUUCUCUUCGGAGAAGAGCGGCGGACGGGUGAGUAACGCGUGGGUAACCUGCCCUGUACACACGGAUAACAUACCGAAAGGUAUGCUAAUACGGGAUAACAUAAGAAAUUCGCAUGUUUUUCUUAUCAAAGCUCCGGCGGUACAGGAUGGACCCGCGUCUGAUUAGCUAGUUGGUGAGGUACCGGCUCACCAAGGCGACGAUCAGUAGCCGACCUGAGAGGGUGAUCGGCCACAUUGGAACUGAGACACGGUCCAAACUCCUACGGGGGGCAGCAG
This 338-nucleotide ribosomal RNA is filed under the name uncultured bacterium. RNAcentral's name for it is "bacterial SSU rRNA". It matches the Rfam family "Bacterial small subunit ribosomal RNA", at positions 1 to 354 of the family's 1533-position model. The record is from RNAcentral.